UGCCUGUUUAAUUGUGCUAAUAAUUUGCAUUGUGUUUCAGACAAUGUUGAUCUUGGAACUGCCUGCGGCAAGUACUACCGGGUGUGCUGCCUCAGCAUCCUUGACCCUGGUUCGUUGCCAUUCAGAUCACUUGCAUUUGUUUCCUCUUGCUCCCUGUAAUAUCUGCUGACACCAGUUACAUUGUUCAGGUGACUCGGACAUCAUCAGCACCACCACCACCACCCAGUGAAGAGAAGAGAGCUUUCUACCUAUUUUAUUUAGUCGAGUUGUAGGGUCCUGUUGUGCUCUUGGAACCACUCUUGUUAUCUUCGGUUUGUGUACCUUUUUGCGACGCUGAGUUGGAGCUGUCAUACAGAUAAUACUUCAUAUGGUUGUUCUGCUGGACAUUCAUGUGGUUUUGUUUUCAUGAUAUCGUUGUUUCCAUCUUGCUGUUG
RNAcentral lists this long non-coding RNA (434 nucleotides) under Triticum aestivum (bread wheat). RNAcentral's name for it is "long non-coding RNA (TAES_LNC024623)". Lineage: Eukaryota; Viridiplantae; Streptophyta; Magnoliopsida; Poales; Poaceae. The record is from RNAcentral.